AUAAAUGAAUCAGCAUUAAUUUUAUGUUACUUUUUAGAUAGGGUAAGAUAACUUGUGGUGGUUGGCCCAGAUCUUUUUAAAAAGAAAUCCAAGAUAUCAGCAAAUAUGUCUUUACUUUCUGCUUAUAAAUAUCCAUAUAUAGUCAUUGAAAAUCUCUCCACAGAGCAGAAGAGAGAAUUUAGUGAAUGAUUUUCAAGAUGAUUGUAAGAAAAAAAUAUUACAAUGACCAUAUUUCCAGGUGAGAAAGCAAAUGAAAUUGAUGAAGAUAGAAUAUUUGAUUGGAACAGUGCGGAAAAUGUUGGGUUAUGAAUGGUAUUGCUGGAGGUCAGUGAAAAUUAUAAUUUGAAUUUAGUCUUGUUUAUUUUUAUUAGCCAUGGUAUCGUAUCUACCUCUAUAACAUUCAGUUAAAUCUGUAGUUAACUAAAAGUUCAUUUUAGACAAAAGUUUAAUAAAAGUUUAUUUUAGUUUCUUUUAAGAAAAUAUUGAUGGACCAUUGUUAAGUAAUUUGAGUGGAUAAUGUAUUAUAAUUACCUUUAAUAGGAUAUGAAUCAUGCAAAUAAUGAAUCAGAUCAUUAUUGCCUUCAAUUCUUUCAAGAAAGCAAAUUAUCUUUUUUCUUUUUGUUUUUCUUUUUUUGUCUUGUGUCUUUUUAGGGCCACACCUGUGUCAUAUGGAGGUUCCCAGGCUAGGGGUCUAAUUGGAGCUACUGCUGCCGGCCUAUACCAGAGCCACAGCAAUGCCAGAUCCAAGCCACGUCUGCGACCUACAGCACAGCUCACAGUAAUGCCAGAUCCUUAACCCACUGAGUUAGGCCAGGGAUUGAACCUGCAACCUCAUGGUUCCUAGUCAGAUUCAUUUCUGCUGCGCCAAGAUGGGAACUCCGCAAACUAUCUCAAAAUUUAUUAAGCAACAUCCAAAACUACUGUGACUUCUCUGGCAGUUUUCAGGGGCCUGCCUCCCAGAUUUUGUACAUCUAAUUGGUGUUGUACAGAGGUCAUUUUUAUGAGAAUGUAUGAUUCCAAAAAUGAGUCUCAAAAGAGAAUUCUUAUAUUUCAGAGAAAUCAAUAUGUAUUGUUUAUAAAUAAGUGAUAUAGCUAUUAAAAGAUGUUGACUGGAAUUACGCCUAUAUGUAGAUUGCAUUUAAAUGCUUUACCUGGUCAUAUGACAUAGCAUAUGUAAACCUUUUUUUCCUCUCUAAAAGUACAUAAACUCCUAAGCACAUAAUUUGUCGCUUUAACCAAUAUCUGGAGAUAAACUAUUGCUGGAAUAGCAUGAGCCACAUGAUUGGGUAGAACUACACCUUUCACCCUUACUUUUAGUUCACACUGUUAAGAAAUUUCCAGUAAAUAACUUUUGUCAACCCAUUUAGUAUGGAGCCUUUGCAUUUUGAACAUUGUCCAUUUUGUUAAGGAAUAUUAUGGCAACUAUUUUUUUUAAAAAAUACUUCAGUAAAUAAACUGUAAAGUUGAAAUUGGAAUUAUUUGUAUUUAAUGUUUUCAUGUGUCAAAAAGUUUUAAGGACAUAACUCAUGGUAUCUCUCUAGUAAAUCAAGAGUCAGUGUAUUUUUAAAGCACUUAACUUUUCACAGAAUGACUUUUACUUUUUCCAGAAUAGGUCAAAAUGGGAAAAAAAUGUGAUUAUUUUUAUCUAUUAUCCAGUAAACUGUAAAUAUUCUUUCUUAAACCAUGCCUAGUACAUCUUAACAAAGAAAGAAGAAAUGAAGAGAGAGAGGCAAAGAGGGCUCUUUUGGAAAUCUGCUUUUGCAUCACAUUAAGAAUUAACCUGACGAAGUUCCCAUCAGUCAUGGUGCAGUGGCAACUAAUCUACCAGGAAGCAUAAAGUCACUGGUUUAAUUCCUGACAUCACUCAGUGUGUUAAGGAUCUGGCAUUGCCCUGAGCUAUGGUGUAGGUUGCAGAAGCAGCUCAGAUCUGGUGUUGCUGUGGUUGUGGUGUAGGCCGUGGCUAUAGCUCCGAUAGACCCCUAUAUGUCAUGGGUGUGGCCCUAAAAAGACAAAAAGACACAAAAAAAAUUAACCUGAGACUUCUCUGUUCAUUCUCUGAUGUCUAUACACAAAAUACAGAUAUUCAUUUGUAUCUGUAGGAUAAUAUGUCAUAAUAUAUCAUUCCAACAUAGAAACAGUUUGGAAUACUAAGCAUGUCUCCUCUCUCACUACCAUUAAUGAUAUCUGGGUCUACCACGCAGACCUCAUGGCAUGGCCUUUAUCAUGGCCAUCGUCUAUUAGCUGUGCCUGAAAUCUGGACCUUGCUAGGUCCCACUGCUAAAAAUAUGACAGCAAAAGGAACAGAAUUUAUCAUUCUGCAACAGUGACCAGUGUAGCACUGGGUACAGUUUUGCUUUUACUUACUAAGCUGUAAAGUUUUGGAUUACAUAUAGCACAUAUAUUCUGUGCUAUGUAAUAUCAGAACAGCUGAUAUGAGUAGUGAUUAUAAUAAGGAUCAUAAUAUCUACCACUUAGUGAAUGAGCACAAAUACCAGGCACUUGGCCAAGAUCUUUUAAAUUAUUAUCCGUUUAUUACAACAGCUUUGGAUGGUAAUAUUAUUCUGCCUAUUUUGAAGGAAGUAGAGGUUAAGUAACUUUGUAAGGAGUAUAUCUAGUAAUUCAACUCCAGAUCAUUAGUCACCAGAGUUAUUCCUCUUUCCAAAACUCCCACACUUAUGUUCAAAACCACUAUAGUCACUGAAGCAUUUUUGAGUAGUCACUACCAUAAAAGACAUUUGGAGUAGAGUACAUGUGAGUUCCCAGAUUUAUUUGGAGAACCACCAUUAAAGUUUUCCUGUGGAAGUCCUUCUCCUUUCUUUAUUAAAGUCAUUUUAUUUUUAACAUCAUUAUUCUAGGAGGUGGAUCAAAUAAGAUUUUGCUGUGAUUUAUGUCAGAGUGCAUUCUGCCCAUGUUUUCCUCUAGGAUUUUUAUAGUCUCUGGCGUUACAUUUAGGUCUUUAAUCCAUUUUGAGUUUAUUUUUGUGUGUAAAGUUAGAAAAUGUUCUAAUUUCAUUCUUUUACAUGUAGCUGUCUAGUUUUUCCAGCACUACUCAUUGACGAGACUAUCUUUCUUCCACUGUAUGUUACUGCCUCCUCUCUCAUAGAUUAGUUGCCCUUAGGGUCUUGGGUUUACUUCUGGGCUUUUUAUCCUGUUCCAUUGAUCUACGUUUUUGUUUUUAAUGCCAGUACCAUACUGUUUUGAUGACUGUAGCUUUGUAGUAUAGUCUAAAGUCCGAGAGCCUGAUUCUUCCAUUUCUAUUUUUCUUUUUCAAUGUUGCAUUGGCUAUUUGGGAUCUUUUGUGUUUCCAUACGUUUUAAAAUAUUUUGUCCUAUUUCUGUGAAGAAUGUCAUUGGUAAUUUGAUAGGGAUUGCACUGAAUCUGUAGGUUUCCUUGAGUAAAAAUAAACCAAUGGGACCUAAUUAAACUCAAAAGCUUUUGCACAGCAAAGGAGACCAUUAAAAAAUGAAAAGACAACCCAGAGAAUGAGAGAAAAUCUUUGCAAAUUAUGCAAUGACAUGGGCCUAUUCUCCAAAAUAUACAAACAGUUCAUAUAAUUCAACAACAAAAAAACAAACAACCCAAUCAAAAGAUGGACAUAAGACCUAAAGAGACAUUUCUCCAAAGAAGACAUAUGGAUGACCAACACGCACAUGAAAAAAUGCUCGGCAUCACUAAUUAUUAGACAAAUGCAAAUCAAAACUACAAUGAGGUACCACCUCACACUGCUCAGAAUGGCCAUCAUUAAUAAGUCAACAAAUUACAAAUGCUAGAGAGGAUGUGGAGAAAAGGGAACCCUCCUACACCAUUGGUGGGAAUAUAAAUUGAUACAACGACUAUGGAAAACAGUAUGGAGAUACCUCAGAAAACUAAAUAUAGAGCUACCAUAUGAUCCAGCAAUCCCACUCCUGAGCAUAUAUUCAGACAAAACUUUCAAACAAAAAGAUACCUGCACCCCUGUGUUCAUUGCAGCACUUUUAAAAAUAGCCAAGACAUAAAAACAACCUCAUUGGGUGUUCUCAUCUUUGCUCAGCAGAAAUGAAUCUGACUUGUAACCAUGAGGAUGCAGGGUCAAUCCCUGGCUUCACUCAGUGGGUUGAGGAUCUGGCAUUGCCGUGAGCUAUAGUGUAGGUCACAGACAUAGCUUGGAUCC
This 4150-nucleotide long non-coding RNA is filed under the name Sus scrofa (pig). Its description in RNAcentral is "lncRNA (ENSSSCG00055014360.1)". Lineage: Eukaryota; Metazoa; Chordata; Mammalia; Artiodactyla; Suidae. The record is from RNAcentral.